GACGAACGCUGGCGGCGUGCCUAAUACAUGCAAGUAGAACGCUGAAGAGAGGAGCUUGCUCUUCUUGGAUGAGUUGCGAACGGGUGAGUAACGCGUAGGUAGCCUGCCUUAUAGCGGGGGAUAACUAUUGGAAACGAUAGCUAAUACCGCAUAACAAUGGAUGACACAUGUCAUUUAUUUGAAAGGGUCAAUUGCUCCACUACAAGAUGGACCUGCGUUGUAUUAGCUAGUAGGUGAGGUAACGGCUCACCUAGGCGACGAUACAUAGCCGACCUGAGAGGGUGAUCGGCCACACUGGGACUGAGACACGGCCCAGACUCCUACGGGAGGCAGCAGUAGGGAAUCUUCGGCAAUGGGGGCAACCCUGACCGAGCAACGCCGCGUGAGUGAAGAAGGUUUUCGGAUCGUAAAGCUCUGUUGUAAGUCAAGAACGAGUGUGAGAGUGGAAAGUUCACACUGUGACGGUAGCUUACCAGAAAGGGACGGCUAACUACGUGCCAGCCGCCGCCGUAA
This 513-nucleotide ribosomal RNA is filed under the name uncultured bacterium. Its description in RNAcentral is "partial 16S ribosomal RNA". It matches the Rfam family "Bacterial small subunit ribosomal RNA", at positions 28 to 523 of the family's 1533-position model. The record is from RNAcentral.